Sphingomonas koreensis is the source of this 87-nucleotide transfer RNA. It matches the Rfam family "tRNA". Rfam says of the family: Transfer RNA (tRNA) molecules are approximately 80 nucleotides in length. Their secondary structure includes four short double-helical elements and three loops (D, anti-codon, and T loops). Further hydrogen bonds mediate the characteristic L-shaped molecular structure. tRNAs have two regions of fundamental functional importance: the anti-codon, which is responsible for specific mRNA codon recognition, and the 3' end, to which the tRNAs corresponding amino acid is attached (by aminoacyl-tRNA synthetases). tRNAs cope with the degeneracy of the genetic code in two manners: having more than one tRNA (with a specific anti-codon) for a particular amino acid; and 'wobble' base-pairing, i.e. permitting non-standard base-pairing at the 3rd anti-codon position. The record is from Rfam. NCBI's taxonomy places the organism in Bacteria, Pseudomonadati, Pseudomonadota, Alphaproteobacteria, Sphingomonadales, Sphingomonadaceae.
GGAGACGUGGGUGAGUGGCUGAAACCAACGCUUUGCUAAAGCGUCGUACGGGGAACCGUACCGAGGGUUCGAAUCCCUCCGUCUCCG